UGAGUAAUGUAUGGGGAUCUGCCUGAUGGCGGGGGAUAACUACUGGAAACGGUAGCUAAUACCGCAUAAUGUCUGCGGACCAAAGCGGGGGACCUCCGGGCCUCGCGCCAUCAGAUGAACCCAUAUGGGAUUAGCUAGUAGGUGGGGUAACGGCUCACCUAGGCGACGAUCCCUAGCUGGUCUGAGAGGAUGACCAGCCACACUGGAACUGAGACACGGUCCAG
This 224-nucleotide ribosomal RNA is filed under the name uncultured bacterium. RNAcentral describes it as "partial 16S ribosomal RNA". It matches the Rfam family "Bacterial small subunit ribosomal RNA", at positions 107 to 334 of the family's 1533-position model. The record is from RNAcentral.